Molecule: long non-coding RNA, 704 nt
Filed under: Manacus vitellinus (golden-collared manakin)
Lineage: Eukaryota; Metazoa; Chordata; Aves; Passeriformes; Pipridae
Description: lncRNA (ENSMVIG00005005613.1)
Source: RNAcentral
UGUUGAUGAACAGAGCUGGAUUUUCCCCUACCUCCAUUCCCGCAAAACAAGGAGACUCAGAAGAUAAAUCUUGUUUUGUUAUUGCAAGUAGUGCUAUGUGGUUAAACAGAGAUUCACUGUAUCACCAGCAUACUGGCACUGGUAGGGACUGAAGGCUGAUGUUCCCUUGCUCUGCUCACACCAUGGGUCCAGCAGGAGCUGUGUGGCCCAAGCCAAUAGACUGUCAAGCCCGACCAUUAAAUCCACCCACAUGGCUUUCAUUUUGUUCAAAACAUUUGAGGAGCAAACAGAGGCCUGACUCCAGAAGACCUUGAAAAAGGGAUCACUGCACUGCAAAAAGUGGUGUCUGAGACCUUAUUAUGCUAUGAAGAACUACACAGACCACAUCACCUUCCUCUGGAAAAGCAUAGCUGGGAUUUGAGAAUAUCUUGCACAGGUUAAUAGAAAACAGUGGAAAGUAUACUUCAAUUUCUCUAAACCUAUACUAUGCUCUUACACGGAAAAGAAGACUGUAAUGACAGUCCUAGAGAAUAGCUUUUUCUGUUCCACCUUUGGGAGGCCAGGGGGCUCUUCUGCCACUGAUAAAUUUGUUAGGUAUGACAAAAGUGAAGGUGACACAAAACAACGGUACUGCUUAUGUGCUGCUUCAAAGUAAUUGAAGGAUGUUAUAAUGGUAUAUGCAUGUAAAGACAAAUUAAUCAGUA